Molecule: long non-coding RNA, 654 nt
Filed under: Marmota monax (woodchuck)
Lineage: Eukaryota; Metazoa; Chordata; Mammalia; Rodentia; Sciuridae
Source: RNAcentral
CCGGCCGCGCUCGCGCUCCGGGGAUCGCCCCGCCCUGGCCGCUUCCGCCCGGGCCCCCGCUCUCGCCGGUGGGGGCCGGCGCUGCCGGUGGCUGGUGCGCGACCCGAGGAAUGAACAGGGAGCCCGGCACCCGCGGCCCGGACCCCGCCUCGCCCUGCGCCCCGGCCACGCCACCGCCUCCACCAUCUCCUCCGCCUCCACCGCCUCCUCCGCCUCCACCGCCUCCUCCGCCUCCACCGCCCUCGCCGCCGCCCGGCCCGCGCCGCGCCCCGGAGGCCGCCGGCUACUCCCACCAGCUGCUGCUGCUGCUCCUGCACUGAGCGCCGCCCCGCGCUGCGCCUUUGUCCCCGCCGCGCAGGGCCGCGCACCCGGAGGCGCCGGGCGGGCAUGGGUGGCCUCCGCUGAUGCCGCCGCCGCGCCGCCCUCCGAGGCUGCGUCUCGGGAAGCCCAGCGGCCCGCGGCCCGCGGCCGGCAACGCGCCCCCAUGGAGGCGCCGGAGCUGGCCGCGGCGGCCGCGGCGGACCCCGAGCCUCCGGCAGCCGCGGGGCGCACUCCCGACGGGGCGCCCGCGCCCAGCCCCAGCCCCGAGGCGCCCUCGCCCGAGCCGCCCGGCUACGCCCUGCAGAACUUCGACAUCCUGGCCACCGUGGGUGA